UAUUUUGUUCUCUUACGUUGUGUUUUCUAGCUAGGAAGCCCAUCGGAGGCAGCAAAUGUUUUUAUUUUUUAUGUAUCGCGUGCAGUUUGCUUUGAGAGAGCGCCCCUCGGUGGUAAAGGCAAGCGUAAAUGCUUGAAUUAAAUCAGUACUGUUGUAGCAAGUUGGCAAAUCACAUUACCAUAGUUGGUCAGAGACUCCUUGAGAGAAGCUACUGAAUGAAAGCUCUUCCUCCACCCCACUUCCCGUCCAUCUCUUGUUUUCUUUGCUCAGGUACGGGAUCCGCUGCAACACGGUUCUGCCAGGAUUCAUCCGGUCCCCCAUGACAGAGAAGGUCCCCACCAAAGUCCUGGAUAAGUUUGCAGCAAUGGUGCCCCUGGGACGCCUGGGGGAGCCUGAAGAUGUUGCCGACGUCUGUGCCUUCCUCGCUUCGGAGGAGAGCCGGUAUAUCACCGGGGCCAGCCUGGAAGUGACAGGGGGCCUCUUCAUCUGAGCCACUGGCGCCAUAUCCCUGCUGGGGAGACCCCCACCAACACACUCCCUGCGCUCCCCAGGAAGGCCUGCGGGUGUCUUUCAGGGAGAAGCUGCACUCCAUGGACAGUCCUGGCACUCGGUUGAUGCCUGUCGAUGCCAAAAGGGCAUGGAGGAUGGGCCCUGGGCUUCUCUGGAAGGGAGAGGCCUUUUCACGCCAAGCAUUGCCCUCCCCCAGCAGCGAGGGGUACAAUUGCUGGCUCCGGCUGCCACCUGUUGGGAGCGCUUUUAAACAGAUCACUCUCCCACCUCCCUGUGGACUAAUCAAGCAGUUAAUCAUAUUUAAAUAAAGAUGCUUCCCCACCCUUAGUAAGACAAAGCUGAAAAA
This is a non-coding RNA of Python bivittatus (Burmese python), 856 nucleotides long. NCBI's taxonomy places the organism in Eukaryota, Metazoa, Chordata, Lepidosauria, Squamata, Pythonidae. The record is from RefSeq and is a predicted model, not a curated record.